AUUAACAAAGGAAUAUACAUAAGCUUAUCUUGAAGAGGAUUGGAGUAUUCAAUUGAAGAAAUAUGAUACACCUGUUCUUCAGAACAAAAGGGCAAGGCAUAUUCAAAUAAACUUAAACAAAUUGAGUAUUCCUUCAUUAAUUGAUGUGAAAGCAGAGAGAUAUAAAGCUUGUGAGGCUGCUGGGAAAUAAUUUCAAAAAUACUGUGCAAGUCUUACAUUUCUCAACAAUUGAGAUUAAAAAAUAAGGCUAUUUAAUCAACCGCAUCCAAAAAUGCGUGCUAGUCUAAGCCGAACAAUUUGGCAUUCCUUUGUUCAGAGAUAGAAGUAGGUCUUGAUUU
Long non-coding RNA from Populus euphratica (Euphrates poplar), 338 nucleotides. RefSeq lists it as uncharacterized. The transcript is spliced from 2 exons. NCBI's taxonomy places the organism in Eukaryota, Viridiplantae, Streptophyta, Magnoliopsida, Malpighiales, Salicaceae. The record is from RefSeq and is a predicted model, not a curated record.